AUACGGAGGGUCCAAGCGUUAUCCGGAUUCAUUGGGUUUAAAGGGUCCGCAGGCGGGGAAAUAAGUCAGUGGUGAAAGCCUACAGCUCAACUGUAGAACUGCCAUUGAUACUGUUUUUCUUGAGUAUAGAUGAAGUGGGCGGAAUAUAUCAUGUAGCGGUGAAAUGCAUAGAUAUGAUAUAGAACACCGAUUGCGAAGGCAGCUCACUAAACUAUUACUGACGCUCAGGGACGAAAGCGUGGGGAGCGAACAGGAUUAGAAACCCCGGUAGUCC
Molecule: ribosomal RNA, 274 nt
Filed under: uncultured bacterium
Lineage: Bacteria
Description: partial 16S ribosomal RNA
Rfam family: Bacterial small subunit ribosomal RNA
Source: RNAcentral